GGGGCUGUGGCUCAGUGGAAGAGCUUCCGCUUUGCAUACAGAAGGUUCAGUCCCCAGCAGCUCCA
Molecule: transfer RNA, 65 nt
Filed under: Sphaerodactylus townsendi
Lineage: Eukaryota; Metazoa; Chordata; Lepidosauria; Squamata; Sphaerodactylidae
Description: tRNA-Ala
Rfam family: tRNA
About the family: Transfer RNA (tRNA) molecules are approximately 80 nucleotides in length.
Source: RNAcentral